AACGAACGCUGGCGGCAUGCCUAACACAUGCAAGUCGAACGAUGCCUCCGGGCAUAGUUGCGCACGGUUUCGUAACGCGUGGGAAUCUGCCCUUGGGUUCGGAAUAACUCGCCGAAUGGCGAGCUAAUACCGGUUGAUGACUUAAGUCCAAAGAUUUAUCGCCCAAGGAUGAGCCCGAGUAUGAUUAGCUUGUUGGUUGGGUAAAGGCCCAGCAAGGGAACGAUCCUUAGCUGGUCUGAGAGGAUGAUCAGCCACACUGGGACUGAGACACGGCCGAGACUACGACGGGAAGGAGGAGUGGGGAAUAUAGGAAAAUGGGGGAAAGGCUGAAAAAGCAAGGACGCGAGAGUGAUGAAGGCAUUAGGGUAGAAAAGCUCUUUAAACCGGGAUGAUAAUGACAGUAACGGGAGAAUAAGCACCGGCUAACUCCGUG
RNAcentral lists this ribosomal RNA (433 nucleotides) under uncultured bacterium. RNAcentral's name for it is "partial 16S ribosomal RNA". It matches the Rfam family "Bacterial small subunit ribosomal RNA", at positions 29 to 507 of the family's 1533-position model. The record is from RNAcentral.